RNAcentral lists this ribosomal RNA (424 nucleotides) under uncultured prokaryote. RNAcentral describes it as "bacterial SSU rRNA". It matches the Rfam family "Bacterial small subunit ribosomal RNA", at positions 355 to 776 of the family's 1533-position model. The record is from RNAcentral. RNAcentral also lists the same sequence under 1 other name.
UGAGGAAUAUUGGUCAAUGGACGCAAGUCUGAACCAGCCAAGUAGCGUGAAGGAUGACUGCCCUAUGGGUUGUAAACUUCUUUUGUCGUGGAACAAAACCUGCCACGUGUGGCAGUUUGCGUGUACACGUUGAAUAAGCAUCGGCUAACUCCGUGCCAGCAGCCGCGGUAAUACGGAGGAUGCGAGCGUUAUCCGGAUUUAUUGGGUUUAAAGGGAGCGUAGGUGGUUUAUUAAGCAAGUUGUGAAAUACUGCCGCUCAACGGCAGCCGUGCAGUUUGAACUGGUAGACUUGAGUGUACAUGAGGAAAGUGGAAUUCGUGGUGUAGCGGUGAAAUGUUUAGAUAUCACGAAGAACUCCAAUUGCGUAGGCAGCUUUCUAGGGUACAACUGACACUGAGGCUCGAAAGUGCGGGUAUCGAACAGG